CGUACACUCCUGCGGGAGGCAGCAGUGGGGAAUAUUGGACAAUGGGCGCAAGCCUGAUCCAGCCAUGCCGCGUGAGUGAUGAAGGCCCUAGGGUUGUAAAGCUCUUUCACCGGUGAAGAUAAUGACGGUAACCGGAGAAGAAGCCCCGGCUAACUUCGUGCCAGCAGCCGCGGUAAUACGAAGGGGGCUAGCGUUGUUCGGAUUUACUGGGCGUAAAGCGCACGUAGGCGGACUAUUAAGUCAGGGGUGAAAUCCCGGGGCUCAACCCCGGAACUGCCUUUGAUACUGGUAGUCUUGAGUUCGAGAGAGGUGAGUGGAAUUCCGAGUGUAGAGGUGAAAUUCGUAGAUAUUCGGAGGAACACCAGUGGCGAAGGCGGCUCACUGGCUCGAUACUGACGCUGAGGUGCGAAAGCGUGGGGAGCAAACAGGAUUAGAUACCCUAGUAGUCCCAU
Molecule: ribosomal RNA, 452 nt
Filed under: uncultured organism
Description: partial 16S ribosomal RNA
Rfam family: Bacterial small subunit ribosomal RNA
Source: RNAcentral